UUCCCGAGAGCAGGGACUGUGGGAAGUAAUUAUUAUAGAGCCAGACAAUAGAAUCCUAUGCAGCCAUAAAAAGGAAAAGCUGUUUAAGUAUUUGACUAUCACCCAACCUCCUAGUUAUACUGUUAAGUGAAAAGUGUAAGGUAUAGAAGUCCAUGUAAGAAUCUAUCAUUUGUGUU
This is a long non-coding RNA of Pipistrellus kuhlii (Kuhl's pipistrelle), 176 nucleotides long. RefSeq lists it as uncharacterized. Lineage: Eukaryota; Metazoa; Chordata; Mammalia; Chiroptera; Vespertilionidae. The record is from RefSeq and is a predicted model, not a curated record. The transcript has 2 exons.